This 621-nucleotide long non-coding RNA is filed under the name Salmo salar (Atlantic salmon). RNAcentral describes it as "lncRNA (ENSSSAG00000121858.1)". The record is from RNAcentral. Lineage: Eukaryota; Metazoa; Chordata; Actinopteri; Salmoniformes; Salmonidae.
GCCGACCCACAGAUAAGGGGUCAAGACAAACCAGGAAGAGAGAGAGGAAGGGGCUGGGGGAUCUAUGAACCAUAGAGAAAGAGAAAAUAUAUAUCAGCUGGAUUUACCCUGUAUGACCUGGACUGUUUGGACUUACCUGUUGGCAUUUGGACCUGGACCCACUGAGAACCCGAUUCGUGUACCUGUGACAGGAUAAUAAAUAAUGCUCAACUGGGACCACUGGCUGGGUGAUAUAUUUGGACAAAACACAACGCAAGGAGAGUAUGAUUAACAUCUGUUACACUAGUGCCGAGACUCGUCUUGCCUUCGCCGGACGUGACGUGGAGGGUUCCGAGACCCAGCUUCAAGAAGUACUGUGGUUGCUGAUGCACACCAGAGGCUUAGGUUUCGCAUUCUGCACAAGUGGAAUUCUCAGGGAGCUCCUGGUAGCAUGAUGUUCAACGUUUGGUUAAUAAAUCCAGAAAAUGUACACCAACUCUGCUGCAUAUUGGUCCACCUUUUCGGAUGACGAUUUCGCUAUGUCGUCCUCCGACGAAGAAAGCCGUGACAGUGAUAGAAUGAUUAUUUAGUGAUGUAAUUGUGCUGUUAUGCUAGUAACUUUCCGACGCCAGUUAACGUGAG